UGAAUACGAGACGCUAAGGCGUCGAAGUAGUCUAUGUCAUACUUCCAAGAAAAGCUUGCACUGUCAUAGAUAAAAAACGCCUGUACCAUAACCGACACAGGUGGGUAGGUAGAGUAUACUAAGGGGCGCGAGAUAACUCUCUCUAAGGAACUCGGCAAAAUAACUCCGUAACUUCGGGAGAAGGAGUGCCUUAUUCGUAAGGUUGCAAUAACAAGAUCCAAGCAACUGUUUAUCAAAAACACAGGUCUCCGCUAAGUCGUAAGACGAUGUAUGGGGGCUGACGCCUGCCCAGUGCCAGAAGGUUAAAGAAGUUGGUUAGCAAUUGCGAAGCUGAUAACUGAAGCCCUGGUGAACGGCGGCCGUAACAAUAACGGUCCUAAGGUAGCGAAAUUCCUUGUCGGGUAAGUUCCGACCCGCACGAAAGGCGUAAUGAUUUGGAUACUGUCUCGGAGAGGGGCUCGGUGAAAUAGACUUGUCUGUGAAGAUGCGGACUACCUGCACCAGGACAGAAAGACCCUAUGAAGCUUUACUGUAACUUGAAAUUGAAAUUGGACUUUAUUCGCGCAGUAUAGGUGGGAGGCGUUGAUUAUAAUCUUGUGGGAUUAUUGGAGCCAUCAGUGAGAUACCACUCUUGUAAUGUUAGAUUUCUAACUUUGAAUCAUUAUCUGGUCAAAGAACAGUUUCAGGCGGGCAGUUUGGCUGGGGCGGUCGCCUCCUAAACGGUAACGGAGGCGUACAAAGGUUUCCUCUGAACGGUUAGAAAUCGUAUCUAGAGUGUAAAGGCAUAAGGAAGCUUGACUGUGAGACCUACAAGUCGAGCAGGGACGAAAGUCGGUCUUAGUGAUCUGACGGUACUGAGUGGAAAGGCCGUCACUCAACGGAUAAAAGUUACUCUAGGAUAACAGGCUGAUCUUCCCCAAGAGUUCACAUCGACGGGGAGGUUUGGCACCUCGAUGUCGGCUCAUCGCAUCCUGGGGCGGUAGUACGUCCCAAGGGUUGGGCUGUUCGCCCAUGAAAGCGGUACGCGAGCUGGGUUCAGAACGUCGUGAGACAGUUCGGUCCAUAUCCGGUGUAGGCGUUAGAAUAUUGAGAGGAGCCUUCUUUAGUACGAGAGGACCGAGAAGGACAUACCUCUGGUGUACCAGUUAUCGUGCCAACGGUAAACGCUGGGUAGCUAUGUAUGGAGUGGAUAACCGCUGAAAGCAUCUAAGUGGGAAGCCCACCUCAAGAUAAG
RNAcentral lists this ribosomal RNA (1234 nucleotides) under metagenome. RNAcentral's name for it is "bacterial LSU rRNA". It matches the Rfam family "Bacterial large subunit ribosomal RNA", at positions 1564 to 2808 of the family's 2925-position model. The record is from RNAcentral.